Molecule: ribosomal RNA, 468 nt
Filed under: uncultured bacterium
Lineage: Bacteria
Description: partial 16S ribosomal RNA
Rfam family: Bacterial small subunit ribosomal RNA
Source: RNAcentral
GACGAACGCUGGCGGCGUGCUUAACACAUGCAAGUCGAACGGAAAGGCCCUGCUUUUGUGGGGUGCUCGAGUGGCGAACGGGUGAGUAACACGUGAGUAACCUGCCCUUGACUUUGGGAUAACUUCAGGAAACUGGGGCUAAUACCGGAUAGGAGCUCCUGCUGCAUGGUGGGGGUUGGAAAGUUUCGGCGGUUGGGGAUGGACUCGCGGCUUAUCAGCUUGUUGGUGGGGUAGUGGCUUACCAAGGCUUUGACGGGUAGCCGGCCUGAGAGGGUGACCGGCCACAUUGGGACUGAGAUACGGCCCAGACUCCUACGGUAGGCAGCAGUGGGGAAGAUUGCACAAGGGGCGGAAGCCUGAUGCAGCAACGCCGCGUGCGGGAUGACGGCCUUCGGGUUGUAAACCGCUUUCGCCUGUGACGAAGCGUGAGUGACGGUAAUGGGUAAAGAAGCACCGGCUAACUACGUG